CUGGUGGGAACGGAAGCUCCGCGCACGCAGGCCAGCAACGACUAGCAACCCUGCUGAACGAAAGUAAAGAGAAUUCCUAGAGGAAAAGUGGCCAUGGACCUGAUUCCAAGCUUUUCCACAGAAACCUGCCUUCUCCUGGCUACCAGCCUUGUGCUGUUCUAUCUAUAUGGGACCUCCACACAUGGACUUUUUAAGAAGCUGGGAAUUCCUGGGACAACACCUCUGCCUUUUUUGGGAACUGUUCAUGGUUACCAAAAUGGUUUUUGUGAUUUUGAUGAGAAAUGUUUUAGAAAGUAUGGAAGAAUGUGGGGGUUUUAUGUUGGGUAACAGCUUGUGUUGGCUAUCACGGAUCCGGACAUGAUCAAAACAGUACUAGUGAAAGAAUGUUAUUCUGUCUUCGCAAACCAGCGGUCUUUUGGUCCAGUGGGAUUUAUGAAAAAUGCCAUCUCUAUGUCUGAAGAUGAACAAUGGAAGAGAAUACGAACAUUGCUGUCUCCAAUUUUCACCAGUGGAAAGCUCAAGGAGAUGUUCCCCAUCAUUGGCCAGUAUGGAGAUGUGUUGGUGAGGAACCUGAGGAAGGAGGCAGAGAAAGGCAAACCUAUCAACUUGAAAGACAUCUUUGGAGCCUACAGCAUGGAUGUGAUUACCAGCACAUCAUUUGGAGUGAACAUUGAUUCCCUCAACAACCCAUGAGAUCCCUUCAUGGAAAAUGCCAAAAAGCUCUUAAAAUUUGAUUUCCCUGAUCCAUUUGUAUUCUCCAUAAGUACGUACACUAGCGUUUUUUUCUUUUUCUCCUCCCUUCUUUUUUUCUUCCCUUCCUUCCUUUCUCCCUCACUUCCUCGCAGAGGGAGAAGCAGGCUCCCCACUGAGCAAGGACACCGAGUGGAUUUUCUCCAACUGAUGAAUAACUCCCAGAAUUCCAAAGAAAUGAAUGCCCACAAAGCUCUGUCUGAUCUGGAGCUUGUGGCCCAAUCUAUUAUCUUUAUUUUUGCUGGCUACAAGACCACUAGUACUUCUCUUUCCCUCCUUAUGUAUGAAUUGGCCACUCACCCUGAUGUCCAACAGAAACUGCAGAAGAAGAUUGAUACAACGUUGAAGGAGUACAACAUACUCCUUCAAGCACUGCCCACUUACGAUGCCCUUGUACAGAUGGAGUAUCUGGACAUAGUGUUGAAUGAAAGUCUCAGAUUAUACCCAGUCGCUGAUAGACUUGAGAGGGUCUGUAAGAAAGAUGUGGAAAUCAGUGGUGUGUUCAUUCCCAAAGGGACAGUGGUGAUGGUGCCGGUCUUUACUCUUCACCGAGACCUGGAUCUCUGGCCAGGGCCUGAGGAGUUCCGUCCUGAAAGGUUCAGUAAGAAGAACAAGGACAACAUAAAUCCUUAUACAUACCUGCCUUUUGGAACUGGACCACGAAAUUGCCUUGGGAUGAGGUUUGCGAUCAUGAACAUGAAACUUGCCCUGGUCAGAGUCCUUGCAGAACUUCUCCUUCAAACCUUGUAAAGAAACACAGAUCCCCCUGAAAUUAAGUGCUCAAGGGUUAAUUUGACCAGAAAAAACCAUUGUUCUCAAGGUUGAGCCAAGAGAUGGGAAUGUGAGUGGAGCCUGA
RNA transcript from Odobenus rosmarus divergens (Pacific walrus), 1606 nucleotides. It is a transcript of the gene named cytochrome P450 3A12-like, with no coding region annotated. The record is from RefSeq and is a predicted model, not a curated record. The transcript has 14 exons. NCBI's taxonomy places the organism in Eukaryota, Metazoa, Chordata, Mammalia, Carnivora, Odobenidae.